Non-coding RNA from Hysterangium stoloniferum, 95 nucleotides. Lineage: Eukaryota; Fungi; Basidiomycota; Agaricomycetes; Hysterangiales; Hysterangiaceae. The record is from the annotation of a GenBank genome assembly.
UUAUCGGUAGCUCAAUCGGUAGAGCGUAAGAUUCUUACAGUCCCUUUGACCGGGUGAGAGUCUUAAGGUUGCGGGUUCGACUCCCGCGUGAGGCU